CCUACGGGAGGCAGUAGUGGGGAAUAUUGGACAAUGGGGGCAACCCUGAUCCAGCUAUGCCGCGUGUGUGAAGAAGGCCCUCGGGUUGUAAAGCACUUUCAGUGAGGAAGAACGCCUGGUGGUUAAUACCCAUCAGGAAAGACAUCACUCACAGAAGAAGCACCGGCUAACUCCGUGCCAGCAGCCGCGGUAAUACGGAGGGUGCGAGCGUUAAUCGGAAUUACUGGGCGUAAAGCGCGCGUAGGUGGCUUGAUAAGCCGGUUGUGAAAGCCCCGGGCUCAACCUGGGAACGGCAUCCGGAACUGUCAAGCUAGAGUGCAGGAGAGGAAGGUAGAAUUCCCGGUGUAGCGGUGAAAUGCGUAGAGAUCGGGAGGAAUACCAGUGGCGAAGGCGGCCUUCUGGACUGACACUGACACUGAGGUGCGAAAGCGUGGGUAGCAAACAGGAUUAGAUACCCGAGUAGUC
This 465-nucleotide ribosomal RNA is filed under the name Vreelandella stevensii. Its description in RNAcentral is "partial 16S ribosomal RNA". It matches the Rfam family "Bacterial small subunit ribosomal RNA", at positions 338 to 795 of the family's 1533-position model. The record is from RNAcentral. Lineage: Bacteria; Pseudomonadati; Pseudomonadota; Gammaproteobacteria; Oceanospirillales; Halomonadaceae.